AGUGAACGCUGGCGGCAGGCCUAACACAUGCAAGUCGAGCGGCAGCGGGCCGUAGCAAUACGAUGCCGGCGAGCGGCGGACGGGUGAGGAAUACAUCGGAAUCUACCCAGUCGUGGGGGAUAACGUAGGGAAACUUACGCUAAUACCGCAUACGACCUGAGGGUGAAAGCAGGGGACCGCAAGGCCUUGCGCGAUUGGAUGAGCCGAUGUCGGAUUAGCUAGUUGGUGAGGUAAAGGCUCACCAAGGCGACGAUCCGUAGAUGGUCUGAGAGGAUGAUCAGCCACACUGGAACUGAGACACGGUCCAGACUCCUACGGGAGGCAGCAGUGGGGUAUAUUGGACAAUGGGCGCAAGCCUGAUCCAGCCAUGCCGCGUGUGUGAAGAAGGCCUUCGGGUUGUAAAGCACUUUUGUCCGGGAAGAAAUCUUCCGACCUAAUACGUCGGGAGGAUGACGGUACCGGAAGAAUAAGCACCGGCUAACUUCGUGCCAGCCGCCGCCGUAA
This 504-nucleotide ribosomal RNA is filed under the name uncultured bacterium. RNAcentral describes it as "partial 16S ribosomal RNA". It matches the Rfam family "Bacterial small subunit ribosomal RNA", at positions 29 to 523 of the family's 1533-position model. The record is from RNAcentral.